UACCCGCAGCACAAGUGGUGGUCAUUAUUAUUGGGCCUAAAGCGUCCGUAGCUGGCGUGUUAGAUGCCUGGGUAAAUCGAUGCGCUCAACGCAUCGAAUUCCGGGUAGACCGGCACGCUCGAGACCGGGAGAGGCGUAGGGUACUCGGGGGGUAGGGUUAAAAUCCUGUAAUCCUCCGGGGACGACCAGUGGCGAAGGCGCUACGCUAGAACGGCUCUGACAGUGAGGGACGAAGCCCUGGGGCGCAAACCGG
RNAcentral lists this ribosomal RNA (253 nucleotides) under uncultured bacterium. Its description in RNAcentral is "partial 16S ribosomal RNA". It matches the Rfam family "Archaeal small subunit ribosomal RNA", at positions 474 to 727 of the family's 1478-position model. The record is from RNAcentral.